RNAcentral lists this ribosomal RNA (1368 nucleotides) under Hypotrichida sp. OrrK1999. Its description in RNAcentral is "eukaryotic LSU rRNA". It matches the Rfam family "Eukaryotic large subunit ribosomal RNA", at positions 1 to 1356 of the family's 3401-position model. Lineage: Eukaryota; Ciliophora; Spirotrichea. The record is from RNAcentral.
UGUAUCUGAAAUCAAGCAGGAUCACCCGCUGAACUUAAGCAUAUCACUAAGCGGAGGAGAAGAAAUUAACUAAGAUUGCCUCAGUAACGGCGAGUGAAGCGGCAAAAGCCCAAAAUGUAAAUCUUGUGCACUACGUGUACACGAAUUGUAAUCUAUAGAGUGUAUUCUCAACGGGCGGGGACGCAGAAGUGACCUCGAACGGUCCGCCAGAGAGGGUGACAGCCCCGUAUGUGGUGUCUCUGCUUAACGAGAGUAUAUUCGAAGAGUCGGGUUGUUUUGUAUUGCAGCCCUAAGUGGGAGAUAAACUUCUUCUAAGGCUAAAUAUUAAUGGGAAACCGAUAGCGAACAAGUACUGUGAAGGAAAGAUGAAAAGAACUUUGAAAAGAGAGUCAAAAGACUUGAAAUCGUUGAGAAGGAAGGGGUAGAAAUUUAUUCUUCGGUGUAUGCAGAGUGUAAUCGCCUAAGCAUUGCAGGUGUAGAAUACGUAAAAGGUUCUUGCUUGUACCUGUGGAAGUGAUUGCAUGAGUGUGCAUCGUGAGGCAAGAUGGGGUCGAACGGCUACAAAGGCUUUGUACAACCGGUUACUUUCGGGUGGCAGUGUACGAAUGUCGGUAGAAGUUCGGCCUGAGGAAGCUUCGGCGAUCUUGCCAAAAUGGUUUUUACCCACCCGUCUUGAAACACGGACCAAGGAGUCUAUCUUGUAUGCGAGUGUGCUAGUGGAAAAACUAACACGCGUAAUGAAGGUGAUUGAUGCCAAGCGCAAGCAGCAGCAUCGACCGACCAUGAUCCUCUGGUGAAAGGUUUGAGUACGAGCAUAUAAGCUAGGACCCGAAAGAUGGUGAACUAUGCCUGAGUAGGGUGAAGCCAGGGGAAACUCUGGUGGAGGCUCGUAGCGGUUCUGACGUGCAAAUCGAUCGUCAAACUUGGGUAUAGGGGCGAAAGACUAAUCGAACCAUCUAGUAGCUGGUUCCCUCCGAAGUUUCCCUCAGGAUAGCUGGGACAAAUACGCAGUUUUAUUAGGUAAAGCGAAUGAUUAGAGGCAUCGGGGGUGCAAUGCCCUCGACCUAUUCUCAAACUUUAAAUUGGUAAGAACCCUGGCCUUUCUUAAUUGAGGCACAGGGGCUCAAUGCGUGUCCCAAGUGGGCCAUUUUUGGUAAGCAGAACUGGCGAUGAGGGAUGCUCCUAACGUCGAGUUAAGGUGCCCAACCGCACGCUCAUCAGAAACUACAAAGGGUGUUGGUUCAUCCAGACAGCAGGACGGUGGCCAUGGAAGUCGGAACCCGCUAAGGAGUGUGUAACAACUCACCUGCCGAAUGGACUAGCCCCGAAAAUGGAUGGCGCUCAAGCGUGCGACCGAUCUCGACCAUU